Camelus dromedarius (Arabian camel) is the source of this 4202-nucleotide long non-coding RNA. RefSeq lists it as uncharacterized. Lineage: Eukaryota; Metazoa; Chordata; Mammalia; Artiodactyla; Camelidae. The record is from RefSeq and is a predicted model, not a curated record. The transcript is spliced from 2 exons.
CCAGCUGGGGGUGGGAGAGAGGGGAAGAGGAGGUGGGUCUUCUCCAUCCUGAAAGUCGUGAGAGACUCCGAGAAAACAGGAGAGGGGAAGCCCUGGCCCCCAACACCCAGAAUGUGACUGCAUUUGGAGAGAGGGCCCUGAAAGGGGUGAUUACAUUAAAAUGAGGCCGGUAGGGCUCUGCUCCAAUGGGACUGGUGUUCUUACUGUAAGAGAUUAGAACACAGAAGGAAAGGUACCAGGCAGCCAUGUGCACCGAGGGGUGGUGCAGUGACAAAGCGGCAUGAGGCAGCCAAGGAGGGAGGUCUUGGGGAUUCUGUUACCGCGCCCUGAGCAGACUAACACCGGGGUGCCGUGCUGGGGACGUGUGUUUACCACACAGGGAUUAAAGGGUGAGGACAGUGCCGGUGCUAGGAGGACGGUCACUUUGUUCUUUUACAGAGAGAGCAGUGACCUGAGGCUUCACGAUGCAGCUUUUACUCCAAGGCUGCUUCUAAAGAAACGACAGGUUCUUUGGACUCACCUAUAUCCCUGUAUCACACUGGUUCGUAACUAACCACGAACUGGACAAUUAUCACAGCUUUGAAGUUACUUUAGGAAUAAUGAUAGUUGAGCAAAGUGACAUUCUUCAUAACCAAGACACCUGCCUCAGACCUUUGCCGGGGUCAUAGGGCUUUUGGGUUUAUUUCUCAGCUUUAGGCGUAACCAUAACUGAGGACAACAUGGGACCUGCCCAUCUCGCCUCCCCGAGGGACCAGGUGUUGGGCUGGAGCUGUGAAGAUCAACAAGCUAAAAUCUACGUCCUCAAGUGGUUACAUACAACAGAGUGUGCCAGAUAAGUACCGAAGAGAGAGAUUCAAGGGCUUGCUUCUUGAAUGUUGAAUUUAGUAACCUGAACCUCGGACAGCAGACCUUGCAGAAAGCAGCUGGUUUAGAAAAAGACAAAGACGUUCGGCUUUGCACCAAGGAAGAAAUGGGCUUGAACCUAAGUUCUGCCACUCAGCAGCUGUGUGCUCUCAGUUCUCUUAUCUGUCAGGUGCUUGUAACAUCUACGUUGCAGGGCAGUUGUGAGCUGACUACAGUAUCUGGCACAUUUUAAAAAAAACUAUCUUGCCAGAGUUUAGUCAGCAAGCCCAUGAAAGAGAUUCAUGGUUUAAACUUUUCAUUUAAGGUUCAUCAAACAUUUCAUUUUAUGAUAAUGCCAUUAAGCCAAAUCAAAAUGCAAAGUUUCAACAUCUGAGUAAAGGGGAAGAAAAUAAAUUUAAAAGAACAUAUUGUAGAACUGGCAUUCCAUAAAUCACCCUUUGGGAAAAGCCACUGUAAUGGAUAAAACUUCCCAAGACACACAUGUAGAAAUAAUAAAUAAUGCCCUUUUCCCCAGGAAUCUAUAAGGAAGCAGCUACCACACUUCAAGCAAACAUCUUUAUCACAGGUUCUGUUCUGACUCCCAAACUUUAGCUUUUUGUAUGUAGCACCAAAUUGCUCUCUCUGGCUUUCCUCCACUCUUUUUAGUGUCAGCCAGGAAACACUGACUAUUGCUGCUACCAGAAGCCUAGAGAAACAAGCCACCCUAAUACCUGAUGAUCAAGCACCCUUUCAUUUUAGAACAAUUAAAGGUCCGCCCCAUUCUACACCAGUUUAAACCCAAUACCUGUUUGCCGUUGUGAGUGACGGACGACAGGAUCGUCCUCAGAGUCUUGAAGCCCAUGGCGAUGUCCAGCAGAUGAGCAGCGAAGAAGAAGUUGUUGUAGUGGCCCAGGACUGACAUGGUCGUGUACCAGGCGAGGUAGAGGAAGGACUGGGGGAUGGAAGAAAUGUAGCAGCUUUUCAGGCAUUCAUGCCUCGUGAUGUGCUCAUUAAACCAACUGUUCUCAUCUUUGGGGGCAGAGUGAGGAUAGAGGGUGUUUAGGUGCCGAGGAGCUGUGAGCCGGCCCCAGACCUGCCAGUGAAACCCCACGUGUCUUACACUAUUGCACGAGACAGUCUUGCUCCCCCUGCGUCUGUACCAAGGACUCCAUGAGUCUUCCUGGGCCCCCUCCAUAGCUUGUUUAUUUGCGGCAUCUAAUGACAUACCUGGACUUGGGGCAGAGGAUUGUGCUUUUCCAGAUGCCAUACUUACGUUGUCGGUAAAAACAACUCCCAGCUUCCAGAUAUGGUACUUCAUGUCGAUGGAACUCAGCCUAAAAGGGAACAAAUAAUUACAAAACUUAUAAAUGUCAAGAUUUAGUUAAGUGUUUAAUAAGGGGAAAAAAUUAAAGUUUUCCUCCUCUCAGGUUUGAGCUUGAUCAAGUUGUAUGUGUUCACCAUGAGAAGGGUUGAAUCACACAUCCUGAAGUUUUAAAUAUUUUUAAAACUUUGGGUUUUUUUUGUGUGGGGUAUUUAGGUUUAUUCGUUUGUUUGUUUGUUUUAAUGGCGAUACUGGGGAUUGAACCCAGGACCUUGUGCAUGCUGACCACACGCUCUACCACUGAGCUAUGCCUUCCCUCCCUGAAAUUUCAGUCUUUCUCUUUCAGCCCUAUCACGCAUGAAGGCUGGUAGGUCUUUAGAUUUUUAAAAGCAGUGCCCUCCUCCCCAUAUAUGAGAACCCAGAAGAAACACUUAGGCCAGACCAGAGCCGGAAAGGACAAAGACACGAUUGUGAGUUUCCCUCCCUAGCACCCGGUGGAGGACUGGAAAGACAGAGGGUCUGUGUGAGCCAGACUUCGGGAUUUAACACCUAAGCUCGUACCAUGACACCAGGGAGGCCGCCUCUGCUUUGGUCUCUUCCACUGGGCUAAAGUCAAGGGCAUUUUUGUCCAAACCCAGCAGUUCUGCAAUGCGUUCCGCUCCGUAGAGGUCUCCGUAUUUGUUGAUCACCUAAAGCAGAAAGGGCGACUGGGUGAGCUCAGGCCACGCGUCACUGCCAAUGUUUCCUCCAGCCCCAGUGUCUUAAGAGUUGUGUUAUACUCUGGGCUCUUCCCAGGGGUCGAUAAAGACAUGAUUCAAAAUGCAACAGGAAAAUAAAGAGAAAAAAAUAACCCCCAGAUCAAACAGAAGUGAUAAAGUCAAUUAAGCAAAAUCUGUUUUUCAAGCCAUCUUUUAGGAGGGGAGAAAGAACCUAGGAGGUUCUUUCUAGAAAGAACCAGGAAACAGUGGUUGUGUUAACUGUUUAAGACAGACGAGUGUGGAACGAACCCUAAACCUACAUACGUCCAUGUAAAACUCCUUCUGUGACUUUUUCUUCUUAUCAACAUAAAAGCAGCAUUGAAUUUAUUCAUGUUUGUCUAUGGAGAACUUAAAAAAAAACUACACUUCUUUCGAGGUCAUGGAAUUCACCCCCACUGACAAGGCAUACCUUUCUCUUGACAAACUUGUCCCAGUAGUUAUUAGGAAAAGAUCUGAAAAAGAAAAUGUAAAAGGGAGAUUCUUAGCAUGAAGGCAAGCACAUCAAGAAACGCUGGGUUUGAGAGUCUGGACCUGUGAUCUUUUAGGGUUUUGUCCUGCUCACUGAAAAAUUCAAGACCUGACUGAAGUUCAGAGUCACCGCAGGUCUGAUUUCUGGUUUCAGUACUUUGUGUUGCCUCCUGAAACACCUGGAAAGCAACUCUGCAUUUUCGGCUUCAAAGAUACGGUGAAGAGCCAGGAAUUGUGGUGACAGACUGGACAGAAGCAGGUAUAUGUGUCUUGAUCUCAGUCUAACUAGAAACCAAAGCCUGUAGGAGACGCAUACAUUCAACCUGGACUCGCUGAGUACCCUCUUUACGGCAGGCAUGGGGCAGGUGCUGAGGACACAGCAGUGGGAGGUGUGGACAGGGUCCCUAACUAUGACGCUUCCAGCCAGGGGAUCACAGUAGCUCUGUCAGCUCUGAAACACGACAGCCCCCUAGUCCAUAAGGCCCAUCAAGUUGGUGAUGAGGAAGGAGGGCCUCCCUCUGUUCCCGGACCUCUCAGAAGAAGAACCCUGAGCCAGUGCCAGCAGAGCAGCAAUCUUUAAACAAGACAACAAAGCAAUUUUCUGGAUAAUUAAAGCGGUCUCUGUCUUAAACAUCCAAAUGCCACCUAAAAGCAAAUGCUGGCUUUAUAGAGUAAACUGCUCCUAGGUUUCAUCUCUGGGGAACGGGAAAAAAUUACUUUGACUUUCUUUGUCCAUUUUUCAGCUAUUUGAUUUUUUUCAUGUAUUGUAUUAUAUUUAGAACCUAAAAUAAACAAACAAAAACAUGCCAGUC